UCCCAUUUCGUCUAACGGUUAGGACAAAACCCUUUCACGGUUAAAAUGCAAGUUCAAAUCUUGUGGUGGGAA
This 72-nucleotide transfer RNA is filed under the name Emiliania huxleyi. RNAcentral describes it as "tRNA-Glu". It matches the Rfam family "tRNA". From Rfam's summary of the family: Transfer RNA (tRNA) molecules are approximately 80 nucleotides in length. RNAcentral also lists the same sequence under 4 other names. Lineage: Eukaryota; Haptophyta; Isochrysidales; Noelaerhabdaceae. The record is from RNAcentral.